This 751-nucleotide ribosomal RNA is filed under the name Spilonema revertens. RNAcentral describes it as "mitochondrial SSU rRNA". It matches the Rfam family "Bacterial small subunit ribosomal RNA", at positions 426 to 1213 of the family's 1533-position model. Lineage: Eukaryota; Fungi; Ascomycota; Lecanoromycetes; Peltigerales; Coccocarpiaceae. The record is from RNAcentral.
CAAAAAUCGAUUAACUCGAAUAAAAUUCUAGAUAGAAUUAUGAUAAUGACAUUGUCUAUCUACGUGUCUUGACCAUUCUACGUGCCAGCAGUCGCGGUAAUACGUGGGAGGCUAGUGUUAUUCAUCUUGAAUGGGUUUAAAGCGUUCCUAGACGGUUAAUUAAGGCUUUUAUACUGGAAGGUUAUUAGUAAACUAAUUAAACUAGAGUUACAUGUAAGGGUGAAUUAAAGUACUACUGGGUGUAGAGAUGAAAUUCAUUGAUACGAGUGUGUUGCACGGCACAGGUAAUGGCGAAAGCAUCAUCUUAUGUAAUAACUGACGUUGAAGGACGAAGGCUCUCUAAUAACAAAAAGGAUUAGGUACCCAAGUGAGUUUGGAGCAGAAAAUUAUGAAUGUCAUAGAUUAGAUGUAAAUUUGGUCUAUAAAUGAAAGUGUAAGCAUUCCACCUCAAGAGUAAUUUGGCAACAUUGGAACUGAAAUCAUUAGUCCGUUUCUGAUACAAGUAGUGAAGUAUGUUGUUUAAUUUGAUAAUCCGCAAAAAACCUUACCACAACUUGAAUAUAAAAUUUAUAUUUUUUACAAGUGUUGCACGGCUGUUUUAAGUUAAUAUCGUGAGAUUUUGGUACUUCCAACAAUUAACGUAAACCCUUACUUUAUUUUAUUUUAGACAUUUACAUAUAGUUAGUACCACUCGAUUAAUAGGGUGGGUAAUAGGGACUAAGACAAGUCAUCAUGACCUUAAUAUUGUGGC